This is a long non-coding RNA of Columba livia (rock pigeon), 1917 nucleotides long. RefSeq lists it as uncharacterized. NCBI's taxonomy places the organism in Eukaryota, Metazoa, Chordata, Aves, Columbiformes, Columbidae. The record is from RefSeq and is a predicted model, not a curated record. The transcript has 4 exons.
UAUAAUCUUUUAUACAUGUGCCUGUGCUUUUAACCAGUGCUUCCUGCAUCUGUACUGUUAGCUGGGCAUUUCAUCAACCUGAAUUAAGCUUAGCUUACUAACAGCAGCUCUGACUAGUUCUUACACUUAGCAAUAUGUAUUAUCCUGUAAACUGCAUGUGCCACUCAUCCCAGCAAGUAUAGCAGUGUCUGUCUUUUCUGCAUGUCUUCAAUGAGCAGCAUUUCUCUUUGGCAUUAGAUUGCAAAGCCACUUUUCCUUUCCAGGUUUGGAAAUUCAUUGGUCUUCUAAUGAGCUCAGAAAACUGAAAAUAUUAUGGAUUGCUCCCUGUAAGUGCUUCCAGACUACUCAUACAAGCUAAGAGAAGCAGGCUGAUUGCAAAGAGCAGAGUUGCUUACUAUGCACAAGUAGCUGAGAAGUCAAAUCCCUGAUGCUUCCCCUCCACGCUCUGUCACCGACGUGGUCAACAGCCACUCUGCUCUGUGUGCUGCCACGGAGUGACCCGCCUAGCGUGGAGCAGCGUGGGAAAGUGUGGUAACACAACGAAAAGCCUAAAUACCAGGUCACCGAGAGAUGACGUUUUGUGUAACUUUACAGAAAGUUUUAUGGCUCCUUCUGAAUCUGACUUUAUUGAACUUGUGACGAGAACACAUGACUUCAGUACUAAAAGGAUGUGAAUACAGGUAGCAUCUAGACAACUCAUCAUAUGGACAACAUGGAGUGAGGGAAAACUCCUGGCUUGCUUUAAAGAUCUUGUUCAGGAAAACUUAAUUUUUGAGGUCACAAAGAGAACAGGAAAAAAACUGAAUAACUUGGAAUUAAGAUAAAAGAAUAAUAAAAAUAUAUAAAAUUAACUCCACAUAAACCCCAAGACAAUCAAGAUAACCAUCCAACUUCUCCUGGACAAGAGGAGGAAGAUGUCUCUGCUCCCAACCCUUCUCCACUCAAAGACCCCAGGAUGUUGACACCUCCAGAUAGUGACUGUCAGCAUUAUCACCCACAAUAGCACUGGCAGGGGGAGCAUAACACCAAAGAAAAAGAGAUACUAGGAAGGAUUUUCUAUAUAAAAUAUUUAACAGAUAUUGAGGUUUUUCUGUAUUAAUUUGGAUUGUUAGCAUACAGUGUUGUUAUUAAGCCAAUAAAUGGGAUUAUUAGCCUGUUAAAACAUUAACUCUACUAUUAAAUUCUUGUCUUCACAUGUAAGGGGCUCUCUCCCUUCUGCUCACAGUAAAAUUUUGAUCAUAGUAGAAGGCAAGAGGAUGGUCUUCCCAUAGCUGCAUGGACUAAUUUCAGAAACGGUAAGACAGGUAAAAGAAAAAUAUUGUACUGCCAGGAAAAAUUCAAGGCACAGAGCAGAAUAGAGGAGAUAGCGCUUAAAAACUGUGAGUCUUCUUGGACCUUGUAACAGUUAUCUGCCUAAAUACUGCAACAAACUAGAUUUGCAUAAUUAUAGGAACCACCAGGAUCAAAGCACAAGGCAAAACAACAUUCAAUGAAGAACCCCUCCCCGCCCUCACCCCGAAAAAAGAAGAGGUGAAGUAUUUGAAAGUAAUAUCAUAUUUUGUACCUGUGCUAUGGACAUUUCAUUAACUAAACAAGCUCCUAAGAACAAAUUGCCUUAUCAAAUUAUGAUUCCUCAUAUGUGACUAAGAUAUGUGUUGGAUCAGUAACUUUUCAGACUUAUUCUUUACUUUAUGUAUAAUGUAUUGUAGUUUCUAAAAAUAGCCUAGCUGUUCAGCAAAGCAACUUAAGUUUCUCAGACCAUAGGGAGCCCAUCACUUUUUUGUAUGACCAAUUCACACAUUGCAAUCAUUCUUCUUUGUAAGGCUAUGAUGUGCUUUAUUUCUCUCUGGUGGCUGUAUGUACUAUGAUAUAAGCUUUGGAGUAUAGCAUUUCAGUUUAAGUAAAAAACUUUUUUCA